This 435-nucleotide ribosomal RNA is filed under the name Klebsiella pneumoniae. RNAcentral describes it as "bacterial SSU rRNA". It matches the Rfam family "Bacterial small subunit ribosomal RNA", at positions 353 to 780 of the family's 1533-position model. Lineage: Bacteria; Pseudomonadati; Pseudomonadota; Gammaproteobacteria; Enterobacterales; Enterobacteriaceae. The record is from RNAcentral.
AGUAGGGAAUCUUCGGCAAUGGGGGCAACCCUGACCGAGCAACGCCGCGUGAGUGAAGAAGGUUUUCGGAUCGUAAAGCUCUGUUGUAAGAGAAGAACGAGUGUGAGAGUGGAAAGUUCACACUGUGACGGUAACUUACCAGAAAGGGACGGCUAACUACGUGCCAGCAGCCGCGGUAAUACGUAGGUCCCGAGCGUUAUCCGGAUUUAUUGGGCGUAAAGCGAGCGCAGGCGGUUAGAUAAGUCUGAAGUUAAAGGCUGUGGCUUAACCAUAGUACGCUUUGGAAACUGUUUAACUUGAGUGCAGAAGGGGAGAGUGGAAUUCCAUGUGUAGCGGUGAAAUGCGUAGAUAUAUGGAGGAACACCGGUGGCGAAAGCGGCUCUCUGGUCUGUAACUGACGCUGAGGCUCGAAAGCGUGGGGAGCAAACAGGAUUA